Phyllostomus discolor (pale spear-nosed bat) is the source of this 144-nucleotide long non-coding RNA. RefSeq lists it as uncharacterized. Lineage: Eukaryota; Metazoa; Chordata; Mammalia; Chiroptera; Phyllostomidae. The record is from RefSeq and is a predicted model, not a curated record. The transcript is spliced from 3 exons.
AACUCUUUUUCACUGGGGGCCACAUCUACCUUGCAGUUGCCUUCAAAGGGCCAAAUGUAACUUUAGGACUGUAUAAAUGUAGCUACUCCUUAACUGUUAUGCGAGAGCUCAGCACUGUCACUGGGUAGAAACAAGGUACCAGGC